UGUUUUGUCUAAUUCACGGCACUCCAGAACUGUGUCUGUUUUUCCUCACAUUCUCUUUCUUGUCUGCCACAGCAAUAUUCUCAGCAAACCAUCCGACGGCAACUCCUGUGAUCACAAAAGUCAAGCACUGAUGGAAAUGAAGACCACGACCCCGAUUCCUCAGGUGCCGGAUUGAUGGGACUGCAAAUGUGUAAAGUCUUGCACAGGAAACCCCCCAGCACAGCCAUUCAGAGGCUCUCAACUCCUGCUGGACCCAAACACAAGAAACCAGGAGGCGCAGACCCCAUCUCUCAUUUUGCACCUUGGGAAACAAUUUUGCAUCCAGCUGUACUCCAGAUGUUUAUAUAGAAACUUCACAGCAGACAUGAUGGUGGCGCAGGUCUGCAGGAAGGACCCUUUCCUGCUUGCAGAGUGACUCAAGGUAGGCGAUCCCUUCAAUAUUUACAACAGCUGGGUGAGUGGAGGCAUGAUCAACUCCAUUUACCCAUCAAAUAAAUGAAAUUUCAGAGUGGUUACACAAUGUGCUCGAGGUAACAAGGCCAGCAAGCCACGGAGCCAA
This is a long non-coding RNA of Sapajus apella (tufted capuchin), 559 nucleotides long. RefSeq lists it as uncharacterized. The record is from RefSeq and is a predicted model, not a curated record. Lineage: Eukaryota; Metazoa; Chordata; Mammalia; Primates; Cebidae. The transcript has 3 exons.